This is an RNA transcript of Mauremys mutica (yellowpond turtle), 4483 nucleotides long. RefSeq lists it as uncharacterized. The transcript is spliced from 7 exons. NCBI's taxonomy places the organism in Eukaryota, Metazoa, Chordata, Testudines, Geoemydidae. The record is from RefSeq and is a predicted model, not a curated record.
CCCAGACAGGUGCAUCUUGCAGCUGAGCCACCUCAGGGGGCAGUGGGGACAGGUCACCUCAUCCCAUCAAACCAAGCAGUGCUGGGUCUCAAAGAGGCUUAGAUGGAAGAGCCCGCUCCCUCAUGGAGGAAGGGGCUCCCCAGAGACGUGCUUAAACCUGAACUCCUGAGAGCGUUUCCAGCAGGACGCUCCUGCCCCUCGAGCAUGAAGAGAACAUCAGGUAAUCUCGUUCACAUGGUAUCUCCGGUCUCCAGCUCCAUUUCCUGCAUCAGGGCAAACAAGCCCAUCAGCUCCCAGAAUCCCAACUUUUUGACCUCCUUCCACUCAGCAGUGGGGUUUCUCCACCCCUCUCACCACACCUGUCAGCCUCUGAAUGAUGAAAGGCCUGAAUGUCAGAGUCAACAGAACAAGCAAACUCCAGUUCCAGGCAGUAGGGCCUGUGUGUACUCAGCCCCUCUGGAAACCAGGUCUGAAAUGAGGAGUAAGGACCCCAGCCCAGUAACAGUAGGAAUGGGCAGAGCAGGCCUGUACCAGGAUGCUUUCCCCUGGGCUGCACAGCCGGGGGCUUAGCCAAGCUGAUUACAGAAUGAGCCCUAACUGAGAGGCACCAUGUACCUCCCCCUAAAGAGCCAGACUUCAGUGGUUAUCCGUGAGGGUCAAUGGAAGUCUUGGUUGCUGAAGGAAGUUCUGUCCUCCCAAGUGGGUGUAUCGAGGGAGCGAGCUGGUCACUGGAUUUCCCACUUCAGUUCCAGGGACUGGUUAAGCAGCCAAAGCAGGUCUAGGGGUUUCUCCAGCAGCUCCUAGAAAACCAACAGAAGCAGAAGGAAGUGCAGGCGGAGCUACAGACACAGCAGGAGGAAUACCUGUGAGAGAUCCUGCAAAGGGAAAUCAACCCAGGGUCUGCUAUCCCCAUGGACAAAAAGAGCAGAUGCGGAGAGCAUGCCUGGGCUGUGCUGAGAAGUUUGGGAUGAGCGUGACCCAGGAAGGAGUGGACUAAAAGACGGUCACCUUGCUGAAGGGCUGAGUUCCCAGCCAAUAAAUUGCCAGAGCGACUAUCGGCGAGGGUGCUAGCCCAGCAAGAAAGCUGUGACACCAGGCCUGGCCAGAAAGGGGCACCUGUCAGUGAGUGAACUCUGUUACAAGCCUGCUUCCAUUAUGGUAUUGGAGAGUGGUGGGAAUGGCCUAUGGGAAAGGAUGGCUGGAGUGGUCAUACAGAAGGGGCAGCAGGGUCCAGUGAUGAGAGCAGGGAACGGGUUGUACUGCAGCCCUGCCACUGAGUGGUAACGUGAUCCUGUCCAGGUCACUCUCCCACCUGGUGCCUCACUCUCUCUAGCUUUGAAAUGGGGAUCAUCCUGACCCACAUUAAGAAAGUGUUUGAUCCUCUGCUCUUGCUUCCCAAAUCCCUGCCCUCCUUGCCCCACACAGGUCUCUGCCCUGUUCCUCAAACCUCCAUGCCCAUAUUAGUGCCUGUGUCUCCCCCCAACUGCAAGGUCUCAUGUACAGUCUCCCGCCAGCAAACUGAAGCUGCCCCUAGAUCCAGAACAGGAAUCACAGUUCCUGUGCACUGCCCUGAAUGGAGUAUAGACCCUGGGCAUGGAGAAGGCCAACAGCCACUUCCAGGUAGAUCAUCAACCUACUCCUCUGUCCCAGGAGCAGGAAGGCCUCUGGUCCUUGCUCUCUUCGGUAGCUGGAACUGCUAAGUUGGGGGUGUGGUGGGUGCAGAUGGGAACAGGCCACAGGAUUAAUCAAGUGUCAGGGAGAGACUCCCCCUCUGUGGGAGAUGAUGUUAUGCCUCUGUGGGGAACCCCUUCCUUGCGGAUGCUGUGCUUCGGUUCCUGGACUCUGCCAGGAAGCCCAGAUCCCAUCCCUAGCAGCUUGGCUGUUCCCUACCCUGCUGUGCACCAGACCCUCUGCAGAGAGCUGCUCUGGGCAAGGACUGAGGAGCCAGCUGUCACCCUGGCAGGUGUAGCCCCAGAUUCUAUAACCCUGACACUUGAUCUCCCUCCGCUGGCAGGCUCUGAGCAAGGCCUCCCCAGAUAUCAUGGAUGAGGAGCUCUAGAUCCUGCUGACAGCAACCCCCAGCACAGACAAACUCCAGCACAUCUUGGAGGUCUCUCCUUGAAGACUGAGAGAGAAUUCUGGUUCACAUACGUGAGCACAAGGAGGAACCACUUUGGAGUUUUCUCCUUUCCUUUUACUGAUUUUGCUAGAAAAGAGACAUCGCUGUUUAGAAGGCAGCUGCUCUCCACUUCUCAUUAUGGGAACCCCUCACAAAGAGUUGGGGCUGGAAUAGUGCUCUGAGCGCAAUCCCCUCUGGUGGUGACCUGGGCCAUCUUUGGACCAUCUGGCGAGAACUCUGAACCUCCUGUCUCUCAGAGUCUCAGCACUGAUUGGGCUCUGUCCCAGCUUCUCACAGAGAUGUAUCCUGCAGCCAGCCCAGCUCAGGGAGCAGUGGGGACAGGUGAUCUCCUCCUGUCAAACCAAGCAACAUGGGUCUCAUUGAGGCUCAGAUGGAAGAUCCCAUGCAUCUCCUGGAGGUAAGAACUGUUCACUCUUCCUGCCACUUGGGGCUUUUGCAACAAACAGGGGUCUCCUGCUACAUAUCCUGGUUGGGAGCUUUUGCUAUCCUUGGAUCCCAGCCCUGGUACAGAGACCUAUUUCUCAUCAUGAUAUUCUCAGAGGAUGCGUCCAGGAUCCUGGAGACUGUUUCCUGCAGGAGGUUUGAGCGGGGAGAAAUCACUCAUUGUCACGACCCCAGGGGCCUUCAACCCAGGUCUGCAGGGUUCAUGGAAGCAGCCGCACUCCAACCCUCCACUUGGAAGCCUGCUGAAAAUUGCUUACCUAGGACCCAUGAAGUUCAGCCCCAGUCUGAGGCUCCACUCCUGAGGUCCUAUUGGAGGAGUCCCAGAGAAGCUAAUUGGCCCUCUGGCCCUGCUUAAGGCAGCAGCAGGAAAAGGAAGCUGACUGAACACCAGGGCUGCUCCCUGUUCUGGACCGUGUGCUGCCGGUUUCUGCUGCUGCUCCCCUGGCUUGAUUUCCUGGCAUCUGAUUUGUGGUUGUGAUUGCAAGUUUGUCUUGUGCUUCUGAUCUUCCAGUAUCCUGACCCAGCUGACUCUCGACUCCUGUCAUGGCUCACCAUCCAUCUUGGAGCUGAACACCAGAUGGGAGCUGAUAGAUUGUCCUUGGUGGGCCAUGUUCUUGUGUGUGAUGGAGCUGUGUGCCAGAGAGGGCCAGAAGCAGAUGCACCACACAUGGCCAGGACUGGGCUAAACAGCCUGUAAUGCCAGGUGAGUCAAACCAUGGCCACAUACAGAUACCUUGGGCAUCCAUGGGGACUGAAUGUGGGCACUUCGCUGCCAAGAGCACAACUCACUCCAUUAUGAUAGUGACCCCUACCAGCCCCUCUGAGGGGGUCAUUAUUAACUCUGUUACCUGGCGCACAGGGAUGGAAAGCAACUGGCUGCAAGGUUACACACAACAUCACUGCCAGAGGCAGGAAGGAACCAUGGUACUGAUACCAGUCCAGCUCCAACCACUAGACUCCACCCACUUCCAAAGCCAGAGAACCCCAGGAGCCCUGACUCUGACAGCUAGGCCUUAAAUGACAAGACCAACCUCCCUCCCCCUCAGGAAUCCGUAGACGGGACCAUCUGCUAAGCUCCCCUUUGCAAUGGCACUGCCAGAGACCAUUGCUAGUGGGUGCCAAGUAACUGAGCAGGGAACUCCUUUGAGAGACUCCUAGAGACUUGCAGGUGUUUCACUGUGACCCUCUGGGAACCGUGGAAAGAAAGCUGCAUUGAAGAGACUCUCCUGCUCUAGCAAAGGGUUUCUAUUCUCCUAGAGAGUCAGCCAGUGAGGCCAGUUUGCAGAAUGUGGAAGAGCCGUUUGGUGAUGGGUUGGGGGAUUCACCAUGUAGGUGGCAGCAGCUGCAGUGCCUGGGGUCCCCAUGGGCCAAGGCUCCAUUCCUGACACACCAGGCUAAUCUCCCACUGCUCUCAGGGGGAUUUGGCUUUAGCUUCUGGGCCUGCGUGCCUAGAGAGAAGACUCAGGUACUUCCAUCAAACUGCUCAAUGGCAAAUGCAGCCAUCCACAGAAGUGAAGAAUGGAAGCGAAAGAGCAAAGCUGGACCAUCCACUGAGCUGCUGCAAUCAAGUGAGCUGAGCUGGGGAGAGAAGAGGGAGAACUCGAAGGUGGCUGGCGGCUGCAGGGAGGAAAAGCAGUUUGGGAGCCAGGAGAAUAGAAAUAAAUAGUUAAUGAUGAAUACUGCAGGCUUUGUGAUGUGUGGUGAAGGGUUAACAGUGGGUCUCUUUACUAUCACACUAAACUUUAAAAUAGCUGUGUACGAUAAAAUAGCUGUGUACUAUAAAGCUAAGAGGUCACUUAGGGCUUGAAGUCCCAGAUUCUGUCACUAUUGCCUGCUUCUACCAGCUGAUCUCAACCCACCAAAUCCCUGAGGUGGUAGCAGUAAUGAUCUCCUGUCCUC